This 73-nucleotide transfer RNA is filed under the name Trichonephila inaurata madagascariensis. It matches the Rfam family "tRNA". Rfam says of the family: Transfer RNA (tRNA) molecules are approximately 80 nucleotides in length. Their secondary structure includes four short double-helical elements and three loops (D, anti-codon, and T loops). Lineage: Eukaryota; Metazoa; Arthropoda; Arachnida; Araneae; Nephilidae. The record is from Rfam by way of RNAcentral.
GUCCCUGUAGCGCAAUGGAUAGCGUGUUGGACUUCUAAUCCAAAGGUCGUGGGUUCGAAUCCUACCUGAGAUG